CAUACUUUGAAGUAUAUCAUGCUCUUGUUUCAGCCAGCAGCUGCCUAGAGCAAGGAUCUUGAUACCUUCCUCCUAUGCUUUAAGAUUAUGUAUUUCCAGGAAAAAAAAAAAACAAAAACAGGAUACAAACCUGAUCAGCUUCCAUUAUCUUCAAGUCGAAAAGGAAGUCUUUAAUCUAAGGCUCUGCCAUUUGUCAAGUAGAAAUGGUUUGAAGAUUGAGAGCUGCCUCUAAGGUCUUUUGGACCCAUGCUUCAAGGGUCAAGUGUUAACUUUUCAGAAACAACCUUUAAUGAGUCAGGAUAAAAACCAUCUGGUUCAGGGAUUCUUCUUUCAAAUGGAGGAAAUUCAGAAGAGACGAGAAAUUUCCCACCAUUAUAAGAAUUCCACUGGAGGCAUACUGAAGCAGCUCAGAAAAUCAAUGUAUCCGCUCCUAUCUUUCAUUCCUUUUGUCUUCCUGCCCAUCCAUGAAAGGAAGUGAAAAAGAAAUGUUGCAAAGAAGAAUAGAGAGACGAUAAGGUUUUCGUUCUACAGGCUGAAUGUGCAAAAUGUAAGCUCUCAAAUGAGAUUAAAAAAAAAUGCAGCCUUGCUUAUAAAAGGCGAAUGGGUCCUGGACAAUGCACUACAGACGCGGGUGCCUACAGGAUGUCUUGAGGCAGGUGGGUGGAAGUGUGAGGAAGCCACCUGGAAGAGGGAGGACAGGGCCCAAAUCAGACACAGCUCUCCAUCCUCCCUAAACAGGCUCGCCUAAGUGACACUUCCUUGUGUCCCAGGAAGUGACGAUCAGCCAGUGUAGAUGUUGUGACUCGCGGGUCUCACCCACUCCGAGGGUGCUGCAGGGCGCCCAGAGCGAGACGUCUUCCGCCGGCCCCAUUCCCGAAGAGGCCGCGCCG
RNAcentral lists this long non-coding RNA (890 nucleotides) under Homo sapiens (human). RNAcentral describes it as "HSALNT0022252". The record is from RNAcentral. Lineage: Eukaryota; Metazoa; Chordata; Mammalia; Primates; Hominidae.